RNAcentral lists this ribosomal RNA (209 nucleotides) under Ligilactobacillus salivarius. RNAcentral describes it as "partial 23S ribosomal RNA". It matches the Rfam family "Bacterial large subunit ribosomal RNA", at positions 2717 to 2925 of the family's 2925-position model. Lineage: Bacteria; Bacillati; Bacillota; Bacilli; Lactobacillales; Lactobacillaceae. The record is from RNAcentral.
CCAGUUGUUCCGCCAGGAGCAUCGCUGGGUAGCUAAGUAUGGAUGAGAUAAACUCUGAAAGCAUCUAAGUGCGAAACUCACCUCGAGAUAAGAUUUCCCAUUACGUAAGUAAGUAAGAUCCCUGAAAGAUGAUCAGGUAGAUAGGAUGGAAGUGGAAGUGCUGCGAGGCAUGGAGCGGACCAUUACUAAUCGAUCGAGGACUUAACCAA